GACGGCUCCCCGUGCGGCGUCAUCUUGUGAACUCCCCCAGGGCCGGAAGGCAGCAAGGGUAAGCGAGCUCUGGCGGGUGCACGGGGAGUCCUUCGUU
The sequence is a signal recognition particle RNA, 97 nucleotides long. It matches the Rfam family "Bacterial small signal recognition particle RNA". Rfam says of the family: The signal recognition particle (SRP) is a universally conserved ribonucleoprotein involved in the co-translational targeting of proteins to membranes. Archaeal SRP consists of a 7S RNA and homologues of the eukaryotic SRP19 and SRP54 proteins. In most bacteria, the SRP consists of a 4.5S RNA and the Ffh protein (a homologue of the eukaryotic SRP54 protein).